Molecule: ribosomal RNA, 253 nt
Filed under: uncultured bacterium
Lineage: Bacteria
Description: partial 16S ribosomal RNA
Rfam family: Bacterial small subunit ribosomal RNA
Source: RNAcentral
UACGUAGGGUGCAAGCGUUAAUCGGAAUUACUGGGCGUAAAGCGUGCGCAGGCGGUGAUGUAAGACAGUUGUGAAAUCCCCGGGCUCAACCUGGGAACUGCAUCUGUGACUGCAUCGCUGGAGUGCGGCAGAGGGGGAUGGAAUUCCGCGUGUAGCAGUGAAAUGCGUAGAUAUGCGGAGGAACACCGAUGGCGAAGGCAGCCCCCUGGGCUGACACUGACGCUCAGGCACGAAAGCGUGGGGAGCAAACAGG